UGAUUUAAUUCUUUCUUUUAAAAGUCUAACUGGGUGGGGGGGGGCAUCCGGUUAGCCCAGUGGAUUGAGAGCCAGGCCUAGAGAGUGUGAUAGAAGCUGGCACUAAAGAAAAAGUGCCAGACUGAAGAGUAUAUGAAAUUGAUCACCUCGAUGGGGGCGGGGCCCCAGGAAUGGAUUUCCUGAGAAGAGUAGACUCUGGCUGGAGAACAGUGAGGGUCAGUCAAAGAGAGAAGGUGAAUAAAGACUUUCUUCUGAGGGUUACCCAUUUUUCCUGCUGGUGACUAGAAAUCUUUCCCCCCAACAUUUCUCAAUUAAAGGGACAUUCUGAAGAGAAACCUGAGCAGACUUUACCUCAGCUCCUAUUGCCCAGGGGAAUCUUUGGCUUCAGUCUUCAGCUUGGAGCUUCGACUGGUGACUUAUCUCUUGGAGGUGGCUUUGGACUUGGACUUCAGCUUCCAUUUGGGACCUUGACUUCUUGGACUGCUCCUGGAUCUUCUGCUUUGUACUUCAUCUUGGAUGAAACUUGGAUAUAUACUGUAGAUUCAAUGAUCUCUCCAUGGAGAAGUGUGAGAAGAGAAGCAGUUAAUUCUGGAUUUUAGUCUUUUGGUCAGGCAAGAAGCAUGGAAUACAUUCUAAAAGUGUAGAGUCAGAGGGUUAAGAAUAUUAUAUUACUUGUUGGUUAUGGGAGGGGUGUAGGAGGAGGGAAGGGAAAGAACAUGAAUCAUGUAACCAUGGAAAAAUAUUCUAAAAUAAAUAAAUAAAUAAACUUUUAAAAAAUUUAAA
This 783-nucleotide long non-coding RNA is filed under the name Monodelphis domestica (gray short-tailed opossum). RNAcentral describes it as "lncRNA (ENSMODG00000034468.2)". The record is from RNAcentral. Lineage: Eukaryota; Metazoa; Chordata; Mammalia; Didelphimorphia; Didelphidae.